UACGGAAGGCAGCAGUGGGGAAUAUUGCACAAUGGGCGCAAGCCUGAUGCAGCCAUGCCGCGUGUAUGAAGAAGGCCUUCGGGUUGUAAAGUACUUUCAGUCGUGAGGAAGGUGUUAAGGUUAAUAACCUUAGCAAUUGACGUUAGCGACAGAAGAAGCACCGGCUAACUCCGUGCCAGCAGCCGCGGUAAUACGGAGGGUGCGAGCGUUAAUCGGAAUUACUGGGCGUAAAGGGCACGCAGGCGGUUAAUUAAGUUGGAUGUGAAAUCCCCGGGCUUAACCUGGGAAUGGCAUUCAAGACUGGUUAGCUAGAGUCUUGUAGAGGGGGUAGAAUUCCAUGUGUAGCGGUGAAAUGCGUAGAGAUGUGGAGGAAUACCGGUGGCAAAGGCGGCCCCUGGACAAAGACUGACGCUCAUGUGCGAAAGCGUGGGGAGCAAACAGGAUUAGAUACC
Molecule: ribosomal RNA, 452 nt
Filed under: uncultured bacterium
Lineage: Bacteria
Description: bacterial SSU rRNA
Rfam family: Bacterial small subunit ribosomal RNA
Source: RNAcentral